GGACUUGUAGUCUCCCUUCCGAGGGCACCUGAUUGGUUAGUAGAGGACAGCGCUCUGUGUGGCUCCUCGGUGGAGUCGGCUCCCAGCCUGAGAGAAGGGUACAUGAGCUGUGAUGGUGCCAAAUUUCUGUGCCCCUUCAAUGUGGAAUAUGUGGGCAUCAAAGAAGAUGUGGGGCCUUAUCUUCACCAAGAUGGGACCUUUGGGGGCUCCAGCAAGGAAAAGAGCUUCAUCUAUCUCUAGACCCCAGCGGCGAAGGGUUUUCAGCAUGCGGGCGCCUGAACUGGCUGCACUCCUAGCUGUAACCAGGUCCAGCAAAGCAAGUAUGAAGCCAUCAGAAUUGCCUUCUUUUCUCUCAAGUCUCAGGAUGUGCCUCCUUCCAAACCUUGAGCUGGACACAGUGGAUGUGGAUAUCUCUCAGUGCUCUACCUUACAGCAGAGAGGCAGGGAGCUGGCCUUUGGACUGAAACAAACUGGGCUGAAACCUUGUCCCUGCCAGAAUGUCCCCCAUGGACAGAUUGGCAUGACGGCUAGAGAGAAGACACCAUCCCUGCAUGCUUGGACCAUCGGCUCCCGUGACCUAGCACCAACUCACGACAAAGACUCUAAAAGUUUAUUUUAUCCUAUAUUGUGGUCACAAACAUUUGUUAUUUGAAAGGGCUUGUAAAUGCUUUUAAAAUGUCAACUCUGGAACAACAUGGGAAUUGUGAGCCUAACAUCCAAGCUGCUUUUAGAGAAUGGCUCCUGGGGGACACCUCAGGAUUAGACUGUGGACUUUGAGGUCUUCAGUUAAGGACAGUCCCCAGUUCCAGGGGAGACAGAGAAAGCCCAGCGGGCAUGGACACCCAUGGAGGGACCGAGAGGUGGGCAGCAGGAAACCCCGCAGAGGGGGUCUUGGUGGAGGGACCAGAUCAACAGAGCGGUUGAAGAGCUGUUUGCUGGGGGUGGUAUAAAUAUAGGGAAGAUGUAAGUGGUUUUCUUGGUGACAUGUGAGCAUUCCCAGAGAAGAGGAGGAAAAAGUGGCAGUAGUAGCCAUGUGUUUGUUAUCUGUGGGAGUGGUGGUGGUGGUUUUAACCUCAGAUUCCCAGCCUGCAGAGCCAGGCUUGUCUAAAGCACGUCAAUAACUGCACUCGCUCUCCUCUUCUUGAUAAGGCUGAUUUUACACCUCUGAUAGGCCCUGUUAGCCUCCCUCCAGCCCCCCAAAAUAUCAGGGAGACAUUUCGUGGAUACCUUUCUUCUUUAGAGGUGACUCUGAGAACUUCACCCACCAGCUGGAGGAUGUUGGCAAUAAAUGUUAGAGGGGACAGAGAAGGUUCCUAGAGGGUGAGGACAUUAGGCUUAGACUGUGCCACUAGCGUAAACUCUUUUCAGUUUAAUUCAACCAACACUCACUGCAUACCCACCCGUAUCCCCAGACCAUGCCAGCCUUAAGAUGAUUCUGACAUGAAUAACAAGAACAGUCUUUCCUUCCAUGCCUCCAUGCUCCGAAAAGUUCCUGGAACACCUGUCCUUCCAAGUAUCCUCACUUUCGAGAGGCAUCAGGCUGUGGCAGGAAGACCAUGGGCUUCGGAGGCAAAUCCGGAUUCUGCUACUACCUAGCAGCAUAACUGUGAGGAAGCUACCCCAGCACUCUGAGCCUCAGUGAUUACAUUUGCAAAAUGUGGAUGGGAUCUAUUUUAGAUCAUAGCUGUGAAGGUUAACUGUCGUGCAGAUAAAGCAACUGGCAACCUGCCAGGCUCAGAGUAGGUGCUCAAUCAACGGUACCUAUUAUUGUCGUCAGUUUCCCUGUGGGCCCCCAACCCUGCUUCUCACUGCUCUCGCUGUCCCUGAGACUGUCCUUGUCAUCAGGACUACCAUUAUUCCUGUUCCUUGUGCCCCCAUCCAAAGGUCCCCCAAUUACGGGAAUAGUUUCCCCAGUAAUUAUAGCUGUUCACAAGACUUUUCAAAGGCUAAUCUGGACUUUGGGGUAUUGUCAUCCUAUAAGAGAAAAACUUGAAACGAGUUACCAGGAAGCUACUCGAAAGGCAGUCAAGUGAAACUGCUUUGUUUCAUCUCAAGCAUAUUUCUUCCAAAAAUAGGGCCUCUGGAACGUAAUUCUCUUCCUGUUCAAAGCCAGUAUAUUAUUUACCUAAGAUUUUUUUCUCACUUUUUAUAUUUCUUGUCUAACUCCCAAUAAGCCUAGUACAAUGCCAAGCACAUAGUAAGCACUCAGGUACUUGAGGGAACAUGUAACAAACCUUACACCCUGGACAUACUUAAGAUAAAAUACAAAAUGAAACUAAGAAUUACUGAGAAUUCAUUUCUCUCUUUAUUUUCAUACAGCAGCCUGUUCAGAUGCCCUUACAAGCCCUUAACCACACUUUAUUUAGAUUGCCAAUUGGGAUUCGGCCUUUAAUAGUUGUUCCAGGAACAAAAUGAUAUAUUGUAACUUAGAAAAUGAAAAAAGUAAGAUAAAAUAUGAUGAAAUAUCUAAAGAUGAAGACAGCUCUGACAAUUCACCAACAUAAGGAUAUUUUUUUUUUUAUCAUUUGCCUGGAAAUGCAACUCAAUAUUAUAUUCAGUUUAUUUUAGAAUAGCUAUCUUUACCUGAGAGUCAAUACUCAAAUGUCACCAAAUUAUUAAUGUUUGAAAAUUAAUUUUUUCUCAAUCAAAUUUGCAUAAAUGAAGAGAAGUAACACACUGGACACCAAGUUAUAGAAUGUAGUCUGAGGCUUAUGUGGAAUUAUACUUGCUUUCAACUAUUACUGAAAUCUCUUUUCAAAGACCCUAAAGCAGACUUUAUCUCUUUUAUGUUUCAAGCGACCUCGAUUUCCAACCUUCAAGCCUCAGACACCUCCAUUUCUUCCAGAGGACUUAAAUCUGAAUAAAGACUCUAGCAGCAUGCAGUGUGCCCCAGUGUCCUUCUGGCUUAAACAGAAUAUUCCCUUUUCCCUGAUACUCUGACCCUCAGUGCUUGUGGGAGGUGCUAGACGUAGAAACACAAGUCAUCCUCAGGCUCUUUCCUUCUGCUUACUAUUUGGUCGGGGCAUCAAAUACUCACCAAACUAUAGUACAAUCGGCUGGUGACACGUACCAUAGAACAGGUUAUCACAGGUUCUCAAGAGGUACUGGGAUGAGAAAGGCCAAUCAUGGUUCAGGAAAGACCUCACAGGAUAGAAGACAUUUGAGAAGGCUUCAGGUGAGAGUUUGAUUGGCCAAAGAGGUGUGCAGAUAUUUCCAGGCUUAGGGGUCCGCGUGAUGUGAAACCGCAUAGUCUGUUCUAGGAUGCGGCAAGUGGUCCUUAUAAUGAAAGAACACAGGAAGUUUGCAGAGAAGUUAAUGGGAUGAGCCUACAAAGCAUCACUGAAGAGGCUUGAAAGCCUUGAACGUGUAAUAACGAGGUUGUCUUUUUCUUAUAAGCAGCAGGAAAUUAAUCAAUAGGUUUUAAGCAAGACAGCGGACAUAAGGAAUGUGUAAUUGAGAAGGGCAUUUUGUAGAGGCUAACAACGAUUGUCGAGGAUGAAAUGAGAGAGCAUUUGGAUGGGACAAGUAGAAGAAAGAUUCUUAGAUAAUGCAGCUUUGAGCUUGCUCUGGAAGGAAGAUAAAAAGGUUGAAUUCAAGAGAAAGGAGGGAUCGGGGAAGGGAAGUUUUGCUGUAGCAGGAAUAAUAAUCACAGCUAGCAUUUUAAGUGGCUACUCUGUGCCAGCACUUUGCGAUCUCAGCGCAUGCCCUGUGCAAGCCUAGGGCGUGGGAGUGUGCAAUCUGUGCCCCAAGUUCCCAGUUUGCAUACCUGGCUCAUGGAGGUCCAUACAAUUAUCACAAGAAAUUACCAAAGGAAAACCUCUUCCAGAACUGCGGGAGAAAUCAUCUUCAAAACGACCUUAAGAACCAUCCAAGACAGCACAGAGCCUUCCUUCAUAGUCAUUCCGGGCUUUCGAGCACAACAAGCAAAGGAGCAAACGUGAGAGCUCUUCAUUUCGCUUUUGACUGCAGAGCUGGAGAAAGUGCACUGCUGGCCAAAGCUUGAUAAUCCAGGCACUGUCAUUUGAGGCUCUUCAUUCCCUGGACUUUCAUAUCCUGACACCAUGAAAAGCAUGCUCUCACACACGUCCACUGAGGCCAGAGGGAGCUGUUUCUGUGAGGCCAUGAGACAGGGAGAAACAGGGAAUAAACCGUACUUCUAAAUUCCUGGGUCAUGUUGUGAAACACCUUUUUAUUGGGGGUAGUAAUCUGACUUCAUUCCCUUAUAAAAGUGGAUUUAUGUGAUGGAUACGUGAUAUAUAUUUUUCUGCCACUGUUCUUGUGGGAUAGUGGUUGUAUCAGUUAGGAUUAGAUUCAACUGUGAGUAACAUAAACCCGAAAUAACAGUGGCUUAAACCUGAUAAAAGUUUUUCCUUGUUCAUGUAGAAGACGGGCUGUAGCCGUCCGGGGCUGGGAUGCUGGCUCAGUUCCAUGAAGCCUUCCUCGCAAUCCCUGCCCCUGUACAGCUGAGGGUGUGGCCCUCAGCUUCAUGGUCCAAGUGGGUAUAUUGUCAUCUCAAGAACAUUCGUAUGAACCGUCCAAAAGAGCUCAUCUGCCUCCUUUAUAAGCUUCUGAUCACAACAGAGGGCCUCAGUUCAACUGCAGACAGGAGAUUUGGGGCUCUGGGGGGUGAGACCAACACAGGCUUGAGUCUGGCUGUGUGUGCCUACCGGAUGUGCACAUGUGAACAAAUUCCUUAACCUCUAUGAGGUUAUGUAUCAUGUAUGUAUGUUUUCUCAUAUGCACAAUGGAAAGUAUAUCUCUUAGAGCAGUGUGAGUAUAAAAGAAGAUAUAACAUAUGUAAAAGAACUGGCCCACUGAUCAGCAUGAUAACAGAUACCAUUCUACAGAGCUUUUAAAUUUCUUGCUGAGAGGUUUUUCUGUUUUCGAAGAAAACUAAUCCCAUGUUUAGAGACUGGUGAUUUUGUCCUAGUGAGACCGUCCCCCAAAGUGGGCUGCAUGUCCUUUACAAGCCCUUCUCCCAACUAGAGAAGAAAGCGAACUCGAAGUGGGCAACCCCACUGGUCAUUCUACCUCCAAUGAAACAGGUUUCACUCCCCCUGUACUUUUCCUCUGCAGGGGAUACUGUGGAUUAGUGGUAAAUAUCCAUUUCCCAUUCCCUUCCAUUGCCGUAUGUUUUUAACCUGCAAGCUGAGAGAUCCAUUGGUGGGUUGUGAAAUCAAUUUAGUGGGUCAUGACUAGCACAUUUUAAUGAAAGGAUAAAAUAGAAUAGGUUAGGGAAAAUCAGCGUGCAUCACAAAUAAUUAAUAUGUAUUUUCAUGAAAUGGAUUUCAUAUAUGUGGGUGUGUUCAUGUAUGUGUAUUCUAUGUUAUAAAGUAAAAAAUAUUUCUUAAAAUGGGUUGUGAAUCCUGAAAAGGAAGAAUAACAUAGGAGGAAUCACUCUACCGGACAUUAAAGCUUACUAUGUAGAUACAGUAAUUAAUACAGCAUGGUAUUUGCAGAGAGUUAGAUACAUAUAUCAGUGGAACAAAAUAGAGACUCCUGAAACAGACCUCCAUAAGUGUGCCCAACCGAUUUUUUUAUAAAAGUGGGGAAGCAAUUCAAAUGGAGGAAAAUCCAAUUGGCCUUUUCAAUUCAAAUGACCUUUUUAAAAAAUGGCCCAAGAAGCUUGUCAUCACAUCAACAUUCUAAGCAGCAGCAAGAAGACACGAGAAGCUACCACGCGUGCCCACUGUCUUUUAAGAAAAAUAUCUAGGAGCUUCCCUUGGGUCUUCAUCUAUGCCCCACUGGCCAGAACUUAGUCACAUGGCCACACCAACUGUAAGGAAACUCGAGAAAUGUCAUCUUCAUCCUGAGCAUCACACAGCCAGUUAACAUUUCUAUUAUUCUGUAGAAGUAGAGAAAAAUAGAUAUUGGUCAGCAAUUUACUAUCUAUCUGUGCCACACAGACAUUGCGCAAGUAUGGAAUUCCAUCUCUCUUGGGCAUCAAAAUGAAAUUUCCACAACACAUAUUUGACCUCUGAUUAAAAACCUCAGAUGUCUCCUUAACGCACAAAGUCCAAACUCCUUCAUAAGGAUAUUUAGGUUCUUGAACAUUUGGCCCAAGCCCAGAUUUCCAUCCAUUCUCUGCGCACCACAUUCUCCCAAAUGCUAAGACUCUACCACCUCAGUGUCCCUGCUCAAACUCUCCCCUCACCCAGGUUGUACCCCUGCAGCCACUCCCUCCUGUAUCUGGCAAACAAUGCCUCAUCCUUGUAGACCUAGUGAAGUCGUCAUUUCCUCUCACCGAUGCCCUUCCUGUGACUCCUCCAGCCCAGCAGAAGUAACUGUUCCCUUCUCUAAGCUUUCAUUAACCUGCAUGUAUGUCUAUCAUGGCACUUAACCUCAUGUCUUAACUGAGACUUAUCUGGUUUUUAUUGUUGUUUUGGUUUCGUUUUGCUUUGUUUUUGCUAGGGACUGGAAGCCCCACCAAUACAGGGCCUAUUUUCCUGAUACUCUGUUUUCACAGAUCUUGGAAUCUCUCCACAACCUUAAAAUUAUUUGUUGAAUUACUGAGAGGUUUCUCAGGGCCAAAAAGUAGAAAGAAAGAAAAAGUAUCUAUAUACAACAGGGUGCGUUUUGAAUGCAGAAAGCUGGUAUUUCACAGGUUCAGUUGUGAAGAAAUAACCUGUGCUUAGAGAGUGGCAUGGACAUAUAUACACUACCAAAUGUAAAAUAGCUAGCUAGUGGGA
This is a long non-coding RNA of Physeter macrocephalus (sperm whale), 6689 nucleotides long. RefSeq lists it as uncharacterized. The transcript is spliced from 6 exons. Lineage: Eukaryota; Metazoa; Chordata; Mammalia; Artiodactyla; Physeteridae. The record is from RefSeq and is a predicted model, not a curated record.